Molecule: unclassified non-coding RNA, 163 nt
Filed under: uncultured fungus
Lineage: Eukaryota; Fungi
Description: sequence contains ITS1
Source: RNAcentral
GUAGCUUUUCGGCUGUCGCUCGCGAGACGGGUGUUGGUCAACCUUCCGUCAGCAAGCAGAUUGCCCAGCUUGAAGCGCACCUCGGUGCGCAGCUCAUGCGACGAACCUCCCGCAGUAUGUCGCUCACGGAAGCGGGGCAAACAUUCUACGAAUCCGCUGUGCG